GUUAAAAUCUGGUCACCUUACCCAAAUCCCAAAUCCUGGCUGGUCCCUCCUACCCCACCCCGCUCCUCCCAGGAGUCCCCACACGGCCCAUUUUGGAUGCAGGGACAGAUUUCUGGAUUACAGAACGGAGAGGAGAGGUUACCAUAGUCACACCGCUCACCACAAAAUCUGAUGGGCCUGGAAGCUGGGCACCAAAAUCAUCAUCUGGAAAGCACAAAGAAAUUGGCUGGCUUUUUUCAGGCUGGCUGUCAACACCUUCAAGCACUUUUUCGGGUUCUUUCUCUUUUUCACGAACGCCUGUUUUGUAGAAACAAAGAUGACAGAUGCCAAAAAUAAAACAACACAACAUCAGAAUUAGAUAACUGCAAGCUGAAUGUAUAUUUGCUAUGUAUCUGUAAACUUUAUCACUAAAAUAAAAAUGUAUUAAUUUGACAUGUAUUAUG
Molecule: long non-coding RNA, 443 nt
Organism: Pantherophis guttatus
Lineage: Eukaryota; Metazoa; Chordata; Lepidosauria; Squamata; Colubridae
Source: RefSeq, a predicted model, not a curated record